This is a non-coding RNA of Pelodiscus sinensis (Chinese soft-shelled turtle), 971 nucleotides long. The record is from RefSeq and is a predicted model, not a curated record. NCBI's taxonomy places the organism in Eukaryota, Metazoa, Chordata, Testudines, Trionychidae.
UAUAUAUGUGGGUCAGUGUCACAUGGAGCUUCAGACUUCUUCAUCCUCUGGAAAUAUGUGAAAAAUUGGAGGCCCCAAACAACUCACAUUUUUAUGGAGAAUAUGAGGAGUUGCACAUUGGACAGUCCAGAGUGACAGAUCUUCUUUAAAGUGAUGCAGGCCAUCAACACCAUCCUACUGUGCAGGGUCAUCCAUCUCAGUGACAUGGACGCCUUCAUCACUGGCUUUGCCGACAUGGGCUGCAGGGAGCUAUUGAUGGCAACCAUAUCCCCAUCCAGGCCACCAACCUCCGGACAUCUGUCUACAUUCGUGGUCACCAACCAGUCGAUCGCGAUCGGCUGGUCGAUCGCGAGGCCUCAACCAGUUGAUCGCAAAGCGUUCUGGGCCCUCUAUUUCCCCACACCUCCAAGAAGUCCCACUACCUACCUUGAGCGACAAUGGAGGUAGUAGCAGCUUCCCGCAGGGUGGACGGAAGUCCUGCAGCUGCGCGUCACUUCCGGGGUUUCUGGAAAUGCUCUGGCUGCUUCCUUGCCCCAAGUCUGUGGCGUGCCAGGAACUUACCGGGUAACUUAUGCUAAAAAAGAGUAAUGACCUUCAGGAAGCAAGGCCAGCAACAGACCCAGUCUCCAGGCAACCUGACAUAUGCAGCUGAACCGUAGUAGCCUGCAUGAUUCACUGCACCACCUCAUUGGUUAGAGGAGUCUGACAACUGGCUCUUAAGCCCAGCAACAGCAUUUUAGUCACUGCUUGAAAUAGUUGCCUGUUGGUGUGAUAGUGCCUGAAUCUGCCUCCUUCCAUCUUUGGGAGCCUGACUUCACUCCAAAUAGCUGGGUCCUGAUGACCCUCAGCUCCAAUUUUUGUCGCUGGCUCUGACCCUUGGCUCUGAUUUCUGGCCAUCUCCUCUUGAUGUAGCCAUGAGGCAUAACUACCCACACUCUGAUCACUGUCAAAGCCACUUUUUCUCUAGAAUA